Molecule: transfer RNA, 70 nt
Filed under: Rattus norvegicus (Norway rat)
Lineage: Eukaryota; Metazoa; Chordata; Mammalia; Rodentia; Muridae
Rfam family: tRNA
About the family: Transfer RNA (tRNA) molecules are approximately 80 nucleotides in length. Their secondary structure includes four short double-helical elements and three loops (D, anti-codon, and T loops).
Source: Rfam by way of RNAcentral
GGGGAUUUAGCUCAGUGGUAGAGCGCUUGCCUAGGAAGCUACAAGGCCCUGGGUUCGGUCCCCAGCUCUG